Molecule: unclassified non-coding RNA, 4303 nt
Filed under: Hevea brasiliensis (rubber tree)
Lineage: Eukaryota; Viridiplantae; Streptophyta; Magnoliopsida; Malpighiales; Euphorbiaceae
Source: RNAcentral
CAGUUAUUAGCCGUUCUCUAAAUAUCUAGUUAUUAGAGGUAUUAUGGUUGUAAAGGUUGUCUGGUGUCCAGAAUUAUUUGCCAGUAAAAAGAUUUAUAUGUAUCCAGAAUUCUUUACCAGUAAAUAUGGCUUCGUUGUCACUUUUAGGUGUAGGUGAGAAUGUAUAGAUGAUCAUGCAUAGGUCAUAUCUGUAGGGGAUGGAAACAGGAGUGAUUAAAAGAGCGAUGCUUUUAUUUGCUAUUAGUCUGGCUAUGCUAUUUGGUUAUUUUUUUUUACAUGUUAUGUACUUUGAUUUGUCGCAGAAAUUGGUUCAUCGACCAUAAUGGCUGGUCAGAAGAACAGCUAUGGAAAGCGGUCUCAUUCUCAGUCUGACUAUGAUAAUGGGUCAAAUAAAAGAAGAAAUUCUGGUGAUGAUAGAGACCAUUUUGCCAUUGAUUCACAAGAUACUGUAUAUCGCUACUUGUGUCCUGUUAAGAAGAUUGGAAGUAUCAUUGGAAGGGGAGGUGACAUUGUUAAGCAGUUAAGGAUAGAUACAAAGUCAAAGAUUAGGAUUGGUGAGACAGUUCCUGGUUGUGAAGACCGUGUUGUUACCAUCUAUAGUGCCAGUGAUGAGACUAAUGCCUAUGAAGAUAGUGGUAAUUAUAUUUGUCCUGCUCAGGAUGCUCUGUUCAGAGUGCAUGAUAAAGUUAUUGCAGAAGACUUGCAUGAUGAUGACUCUGAAGGAGGUCAUCAAGUCACUGCUAGGCUUCUUGUACCAUCUGAUCAGAUAGGUUGUAUUAUUGGGAAAGGUGGGCAAAUAGUUCAGAACAUUCGGAGUGAGACAGGUGCACAGAUUCGCAUUCUCAAGGAUGAACAUUUGCCUUCUUGUGCGUUGAGCACGGAUGAGCUUGUACAGAUUUCUGGUGAACCUACAAUUGUCAAAAAGGCUUUAUAUCAGAUCGCCUCUCGCCUUCAUGAGAAUCCAGCACGUUCUCAGCACUUGCUUUUAUCUGCUGUCCCCAAUGUGUACUCUGCUACAGGUUCAUUAAUAGGUCCCACUGGAGGUGCACCAAUUGUUGGAAUAGCUCCUCUUGUGAGUCCUUAUGGAGGAUACAAAGGUGAUGCUGGAGAUUGGUCACGGUCCUUGUACUCAGCUCCAAGAGAUGAACUUUCUUCAAAAGAAUUUGCUCUCCGUUUGGUUUGUCCAACUGGGAAUAUUGGUGGUGUAAUCGGAAAAGGUGGUGCCAUCAUCAAUCAGAUCAGACAGGAAUCUGGAGCACUUAUCAAAGUUGAUAGUUCAACAGCUGAAGGAGAUGAUUGCCUGAUAACUAUUUCAGCCAAGGAGCUUUUUGAUGACCAAUAUUCUCCAACUAUAGAAGCAGCAUUGCGUUUGCAACCGAGAUGCAGUGAGAAAAUUGAAAGAGAUUCAGGCCUCAUUUCAUUCACUACACGCCUACUGGUGCCCACCUCAAGAAUUGGUUGUCUCCUUGGUAAAGGUGGAACAAUUGUAAAUGAGAUGAGGAAACUUACCAAGGCUAAUAUUCGCAUACUUGGCAAGGACAACCUUCCCAAGGUGGCAUCUGAAGAUGAAGAAAUGGUGCAGAUAUCUGGAGACAUUGAUGUUGCUAAAGAUGCUCUCAUACAUGUAAGUCGACGGUUAAGAGCAAAUGUUUUUGAUAGGGAAGGUGCUGUAUCUGCAUUUCUGCCAGUUCUGCCUUACCUUCCUGUCUCAGCCGAUAGUUCGGAUGGCUUAAAUUAUGAUAACAGAGAUAGUAAAAGACAUGGACGUGGGCAUUCUUAUUCUGGUGGCUAUGGCUCUAGUGACUACGCUGCUGGUGAUAGUUAUGGUGCUUAUGGUAGUUCCCAGAUUGGUGGUAGUGGAGGUGCUUAUGGAGCUUAUGGAAACUAUUUGUCAGGACGAUCUAGUACCGCUGGGUGAGAAUUUUUUUUUCCCCUCUUGCCAUGUUUAGGAUAUCUUUGACUGUCAAGUAUUGGUUCUAAUUUGGGAAUGUGUUAGGAGAAGCCUAAGGUUGACAGUUGUUACAUUUUAAGUUGUGCACCUAACAGCUGAAAACUUCUAGUUAGAUAGCACAAAAUUGGUUGAAAUGUCAUCUUCUUGGUUCUAAUAGAAGUUAUAUGUGGAUUGAUACUUUCUUGGACUGCUUAUUUGCUGGUGUUAUGUCCCUAUUAUGUCUCUAGGAAAUUUACUGUCCUUUGUAAGGAUGAUAAUGGCAUAAACUUCUAAGUCCUGACUAACAGCUAUAUUACCAGGUUAUCUGGCCAGACCCCUGGUUCUGGACGCAAAAACAAUUACUAGAUUUUGAUGAUGGCUAUGUGCAGGUAGACUCUGGUUUUCUUUUUUACUUUUUCCUCUCCAUGGAGUUAAGUGGCAAUUUCCUCUGAUAUAGGCCAGUCACAAACUAGUAUGAGAUAGUUUCAUAUUGUAACCUAUCCAGUCUCCCUCUAUUUAGGAUUCUGAUGCUCUAAUUUUUACCAUGUUGCCUUUCCCUUCCCAUUAAAACAGCUGAGAUCCAUGAAGCCCGAUGCCAGCCUACUACUGCCUCUUUUGAUGAAGCCUCCUGCCCAAAACUGGACGACCAGAUGUACCAGGGUUUGACAUAUUCAUGGUCCACCUUGACGAUCUCACCUAAAAGGACCAAAUCUAUUUGAAGAUCCUGAUUUUGACUAUUGAAAUUUGUCAUGUCCCUGACACAAAUUACCAAGGCUCUACAUAUUGUGCUCCUAAAAACCUUUUUAGCUCGCAUUCCUUUGUUGCUCUGUUUUUUAGUGGAACAUAUCGUCAAUAGUACAAAACCAAGUUGCUUCCGUCCUUUGACAGUUGUACUAAUAGUGUCUGUUUUAUCUACAAGUCUCCAUUAUAUUAAGUUUAAAUUUGGAAUUUAUAGCGGAUUUUAUCGCUUGAAAAUUUGGCUAGUUAUAAUGAAAUGCUGCAGAACUCUAAUGUUGUCUGAAUUGCAGGUUUGAUAUUCAUCUAUUGCAUCAUCAAUAAAAGGUGGUAAAUUUGUCCUUGUUAUAGUUUUUAGCUGAGUAGCAUCUCUGUGGAGGAAAAUGUAACUGGAAUAAUUGCAUUUAGACAAACAAGUUUAAUUAAUUGUGAGAACGCUUAUGUUUGUUUUAGCUAUCAACUUCAUUUGACCAUACAAGUUUGAGUGAAGUGCCAGAAACAUCAUAUCUUACAGCACGCCUCUUCUGGUAAUAUUAUUCAAGUUGUAGUGAUUAGAUAAGAUUUCUUCUUUUUUUGCUUUUCUAGUUAUUUAUUUUAUUGAUCGAAUUUGUGAGGUGCAAGUAUGGAGGUAUGUGGUGAAGAAUGACAGUAGAAUGCACCUGCUUCUAUUUUGAACUUUGAAGAUAUGGAGGGACACGAAGAAAAAAAAAAAGGGGGUGCAUUCAACCAUUUCAUCCAUAUUUACACCCCAUAAUUGCUUCCAUGUCAAUGGCCGUAUUUGUUAAUAAUUUAUUCGGUUCUCUGCAUGCUUUAAAAACUUCUGUAUUUGCAGUAGUAUCAUCCUGAUUUGCAUUCGUAAAUUCCAUCAUCAAGUUUUUUUGUUAGUGAUGGGUUAUGUAGCAGAAGGGAGAAAAAGGAUGAAAAUUUCUAGGGUUUCUGUCGGGGAACUAUCCUGCAUUUGCCAGGUAAAGUUUGGAGGUGCUAUGUGAAACCUGAAAGGUGUUUUGCAUGUCACUUCGGUGGAUAUUCUUGAGAUUCUCUUUGAGGCUGGUCAGUUCUGUUUGGAAGGUUGAAUCUGAUUUGUUAAAUGGCACCGUGGUAGGUUAUUUGCUUGUGAUAUUUUCGCGUGAGGUGGAUGGUAGAUGAGCAUGGCACUGAUGGAUUAUUUUUGUCUCAUGUCCAAUUUGGACAGGUUUUAUUGUCGGCUGGUGAAUCAUAUGGUUGGUAAAAUUAGCAGGUGGAGCACAAGCACUUGCUGUUUUAGCUGCCAGAAUUAACCUCCCUCCAUGCUUUAUACUUUGUAUGCCAUGCCUCUGUAUUAAAGCACAUUCUGAGACUUUUGAUGGUUCAUUAACUGAAAUAUCAAAUAUUAAUAUCUAUACUAGUUGAUGUGCUUAUGAAACCUCUUCUUGGUAUUUCAUUUGAUGCAUUCGUCUGGCUUUAUUAUGUGUAUAAUACAUUUUUUCUUAUAAGCAAUACGCAAUUAUUUAUGUAAUUGGGCUUUUGCCCGCGCAAUGCCUAGGUAUGAUCAUUGUCGAUAUACUACUUAAACGAUAGUCUUUUACCUAUCGUCUUUUCCAAUUAAUUUUUUACUGUUGUUUGAAUAAUGCUUAGCAUUAGAGCUUCAACUGCUAAGAG